UACGGGGGGGGCAAGCGUUGUUCGGAAUUACUGGGCGUAAAGGGCUCGUAGGUGGCCAACUAAGUCGGACGUGAAAUCCCUCGGCUUAACCGGGGAACUGCGUCCGAUACUGGAUGGCUUGAGUUUGGGAGAGGGAUGCGGAAUUCCAGGUGUAGCGGUGAAAUGCGUAGAUAUCUGGAGGAACACCGGUGGCGAAGGCGGCAUCCUGGACCAACACUGACGCUGAGGAGCGAAAGCCAGGGGAGCAAAGCGGG
This 254-nucleotide ribosomal RNA is filed under the name uncultured bacterium. RNAcentral describes it as "partial 16S ribosomal RNA". It matches the Rfam family "Bacterial small subunit ribosomal RNA", at positions 524 to 777 of the family's 1533-position model. The record is from RNAcentral.